Molecule: long non-coding RNA, 263 nt
Organism: Salvia splendens (bonfire salvia)
Lineage: Eukaryota; Viridiplantae; Streptophyta; Magnoliopsida; Lamiales; Lamiaceae
Exons: 2
Source: RefSeq, a predicted model, not a curated record
GGAUUUCGAUGUCAAGGCUCCUUGGACUCGAGAUUAAUUCUUUCGAUGUACAGCUGUUCAAGUCGGGUCACUAGCCAACCUUUUUGUGUUCGGAAAAUUCUUUCAGAUGUUCUAGAUGUGGCAUGUAUAGAAAGUGUAAUGUAGUUCAGACGUUUCAUUUACUUCGCUAUCCAGGUUGUAUAAAUAUAUAUAUAGACUUUCGGAAACAGGUUUAUGGUCUAAUUUCAGACGAUAUAUAGCAGUUUUUCCGUUUGCCAAGUAAA